UACGUAGGCAGCGAGCGUUGUUCGGAAUUACUGGGCGUAAAGAGUGUGUAGGCGGUGCUCCCAGUCUGUUGUGAAAUCUCCCGGCUUAACUGGGAGGGUGCAGCGGAAACUAGAGUGCUAGAGGGUGGGAGAGGUAAGCGGAAUUCCCGGUGUAGCGGUGAAAUGCGCAGAUAUCGGGAGGAACACCAGUAGCGAAGGCGGCACUCUGGGCCGGUACUGACGCUGAGGAGCGAAAGCGUGGGGAGCGAACAGG
RNAcentral lists this ribosomal RNA (253 nucleotides) under uncultured bacterium. Its description in RNAcentral is "partial 16S ribosomal RNA". It matches the Rfam family "Bacterial small subunit ribosomal RNA", at positions 524 to 776 of the family's 1533-position model. The record is from RNAcentral.